RNAcentral lists this ribosomal RNA (524 nucleotides) under Platypodiella picta. RNAcentral's name for it is "partial 16S ribosomal RNA". It matches the Rfam family "Bacterial large subunit ribosomal RNA", at positions 1829 to 2597 of the family's 2925-position model. Lineage: Eukaryota; Metazoa; Arthropoda; Malacostraca; Decapoda; Xanthidae. The record is from RNAcentral.
GUCCAUUUGGUGAUAUAAAUGGUCUAGCCUGCUCACUGAUAAAGUUGUUGAAGAGCCGCGGUAUACUGACCGUGCAAAGGUAGCAUAAUAAUUAGAGGUUUAAUUGAAAUCUAGAAUGAAAGGUUGGACAAAGGAAAAACUGUCUUUAAAUGAUAGAAAUUGAAAUUUACUUUUAAGUGAAAAGGCUUAAAUAAUUCAAAGGGACGAUAAGACCCUAUAAAGCUUUAUAAAUAACUUAGAUUAAAUUAAUUCAUAAUUUAAAGGUUAAAUCUAAUUUAUUUUAUUAUAUUGGGGUGAUAUGAGUAUAAUUAGUGUUAACUGCUUAAAUAAUAUUCUAUGAUAAAAGAGUUAUAAAGUAUAUGAUCCUUUUUUAAAGAUUAAAAGAUUAAGUUACUUUAGGGAUAACAGCGUUAUUUUUUUCAAGAGUUCAUAUCGAAAAAAGAGAUUGCGACCUCGAUGUUGAAUUAAAAUAUCUGUAUAGUGCAGUCGCUAUAGAAGAGGGUCUGUUCGACCUUUAAAUUUUU